UCUCCCGUGGCGCAAUUGGUUAGCGCGUCUGACUGUUAAUCAGGAGGUUGGUGGUUCGAGCCCACCCGGGAGAG
This 74-nucleotide transfer RNA is filed under the name Homolaphlyctis polyrhiza JEL 142. RNAcentral describes it as "tRNA-Asn (GTT) (tRNA-Asn-GTT-1-1)". It matches the Rfam family "tRNA". Rfam says of the family: Transfer RNA (tRNA) molecules are approximately 80 nucleotides in length. Their secondary structure includes four short double-helical elements and three loops (D, anti-codon, and T loops). Lineage: Eukaryota; Fungi; Chytridiomycota; Chytridiomycetes; Rhizophydiales. The record is from RNAcentral.